Non-coding RNA from Fukomys damarensis (Damara mole-rat), 78 nucleotides. The record is from Rfam. NCBI's taxonomy places the organism in Eukaryota, Metazoa, Chordata, Mammalia, Rodentia, Bathyergidae.
CUUGCCCUCAAGGAGCUCACAGUCUAUUGAGUUACUUUUCUGACUUUCCCACUAGAUUGGGAGCUCCUGGAGGGCAGG